RNAcentral lists this long non-coding RNA (9504 nucleotides) under Theobroma cacao (cacao). Its description in RNAcentral is "long non-coding RNA (TCAC_LNC001093)". The record is from RNAcentral. Lineage: Eukaryota; Viridiplantae; Streptophyta; Magnoliopsida; Malvales; Malvaceae.
AAUUUCCUUGUAAAAUCUAUUUAAAACUCUCGUAGUCUCACCCAUAUGGCUGGCCAAAGCAUGAAGUGAAGAGGAAAGGAAAGAACACAAACCCUAGGUGGGAAAAUUGAAGAAAAAGUGUGGGAUUUCAAGGGAUUAAGCUAAUAAAGGUGAGAUUUUAUGAUUUUAUCUUGUGAUUUACACUACUCAUGCUUUCUUUUUCAUUUUCCAUGCUUUGAACUCAAGUUGGCAUGAUGAACCCAUGCUAGCCGAAUUUGAGAGGAGAGGUUUUGAGCAUUGAUUUUGCUAGAUUUCAAACUAAUUAAGUGUUUUUGGUUGUUUGGUAAUGGAAAGUAUGAAAAUCUAGCAAGGAAUCACUUUGUUCUACACAAACCCACAAGAGGUUGAAUUUUCUAGGGAGGAUAUUGAGGCUGAAAUUGAUGAUAGUUCAUGAUAUUUUAGUGGUAUUUAAUGAUUGGUGAGGCUAGAAAUUUAAUGGGAAAUUUUGGCAUGAAAAUCUGAAUUUUUACCUAAUGUAUAGACAUUUGCGAUUUAUGGUUCAGACUGAUAAAUUGAAUCAUAUUCACAGUCAUUGAACUAUUUUAAGUAUAAUUGGAGUGUAGAAAGUGAAAGAAAUCAAUUUGCAAUUAAAUUGGAGGUUUUAGCCAAUUACACCAAGAAUAGUGCGAAUUAGGUCGAACACCGUAUUUAAACGGCUAUUCGGACAUUUUGCAUCACAUUUCGUGCAUUCAUAUAGAUUUAUAGAGCCUGAAAUAGUUUAUGAUAAAUUGACACAAUUAUUAAAAUUCGUGUCACGUAUGAUGUAUAGGUGGUGAGCCCUCUAACAAGGGUAAAGAGAUUGUGCCCGAAGAUCGGGAAUAGGAAUAUGUCGAACUCCUAGUACUAUGAGUAACCUUACUAUCGUCUUAAUUAUCUAAAGUGGUUUUUAUCCGAAUUUGUGAAUUUCAUGGAAAAUGAAUUAAAUGAUUAAUUUUUUCGAUUUUAUAAACUAAAUGUGAUUUAAUGAAAUGAUUUCAUAAAAUUGUUUUAAAAUUGAAUAAUGGCUUUGAAAAUAGAGUAAUUGGAGACGAUUUGAUGUAUUGUGAAUUUAUGGUUCUAAUUGAUUGGCUUAUGAUAAUAAUGGCAUGAAUGGCUAAAUUGGUUUUUGUGCUGAAAUGUAUAAACUGUUGUUUACCUUAAUAGGCUGGAUGAUGAUAAAAUUGCCAUGUUAUGCUGUUGAAUUUUUAUUGUAUGGUGGGUAUAGCUUGCUGUAGUGAGCUAGUUCUAUGGACUAGCCUAUUAGAGGGGCACGGAACCAGGUCAUAUUCUUUCUUCGAUUGGAGAGGCGAGUAAGGUAACUCCCAAGGUAUAACUUUAGAGUUCACUUCACGUUAAACCACCUUAUGAUGAUGAACUCCGCUAACGCCAAGGAACGGCUAUGUUUUUAAAAUAAAAACAUGAUUUAUGCAUACAUAACUUUUUAACAGCCUUGGCGGACUCUGUUGGGAUAGCCUUCGAUCAAGGCAUCCUUGAUAACUGGGUAUAAAAAUGAUUUUGGCACGAGCUAAAGCUUUUAAGAAAUUCAUAAGCCAUGUUAAUUACUCGAUUUAUAUGAAUUAAUUUUAUUUGGUUGAAACAAGUUGAAAGGUGAUGAAUUUCAAUAUGUUAAACUAUUUUAUCAGUCUCCAUUUACUCGACUUUAGAUAGUUUAGAUAGUAUCUGUUUACUCAUUGGGAUUUUAUAUUCUCACCACCCUCAUUUUCAACCAUUUCAGGCUCGAGGUAGCUUGUGGAUAGCAGAUAUCGUCAAGGAUUAUAGUCGACUUUACUACUCCAAAAACUGUAGGUUUACUGCCUUUGUGCACUUUUGUUCCUUGUGAGCCCACGAGUCACUGUAAAGUAAAUUUCAUAUCUUGAUUAUCCGUAUUAUAGUACGUAUGAAUUUAUUUAGCUUUUACAUUAUAAAAACUAUUUACCGAUGACUCUAUAAAUAUUGUUUAACAAGAAAUUAGAAUAUUUUAUUGAAUAUUUUUAUUUUAUUCAAAUAGUUGCAAUAUCAUUUUCAAUAAAUAUUUUAGACACCCAAAUUUAUUUUAAAUCAUGAAAUAUGUGUUUUCCACUCAUCUACUACAUUUUUAGUCGAGUUCGAAAACUUUUGAGGAAAAAUUAACGAAAACGCCCCUGUGAGGCGAAAAUUAUUUUUCCACGAUUUUCAAAGGGUAAAAUCUUAAAUUUUUUUUAAAAACGAGGUUUGGCGAUAAUUACUCACAGAGGAGAUGAAAAAAAAAUGAUACUAAAGCCUUACAAGGUUCCGGUUGGCACUCCGAGUAACGAAUUUCUAUCGGGACGUCGCGACGGUUGUCACGGGCUCGAGGGGAGUACCGAGUCAUGACAAUUAAGUUGGUAUCAGAGACUUUGGUUUUAAAGAUCAGAGCUUUUGGGUUUAAAGUUGUUUUAAAGUUGUUUUAAAAAUUUACAGUGUGGCCCUAAGUUAAGUUUGGUUAGAUUGAAUAGAAUGCAUGUAUCUAUAUAUAGAAACCUACCUACCCUUGUGAUGCAUGAAUGAUUAAGUAAUUACUACUUGGUUGCAUAUAGGUUUUGAGGUGCAUUGGUGAUAUACACACCAUGUCUAGAAAAGGUGGUGUCCCGAUACCCCUCAUAGUGCUAGUGAGGGAUCAUUAGAUUCCAUUGCUAGAAGCCAAUGGUGCCCUGAUCCAGGUAAUUCGAAAAGUGGUCCAUCCCAAAUUCCUAUUAAUAGAAUUCCUCCGAACUUAGCAGCAUGGUUUCAUAAUAAGGAAAGCUUUGAGAUUAACGAGGGUCUUGAAAGUGAGAGUAGCUUCGAUACUUCGAAAACUGAAAAAGAUUUCCUUUUGAAACAAUCUGAAGAGUACCAUAGAGAAUGGAUGAGGGAGAAGAUUGCAAAGGGAUAUAUUCAUUCUAGGAAGAGCGUGCCAGCUGUACGACAUUUUCCUCAUGGUUGUGGAAGAAAUGCUGCACCGGUGAGUUAUGAAGAAUGUAGAAGAAUAUAACUAGCCUAGAUUGAGGAGCAAAGGAGAAAAUCACAGGAGGAGGAGAACCCGGAAGAGGAUCUUAAAAAGGACUUGGAGUAGAAUCUUUCGAUAAGAUCAGAUUAAGAUGAUGAUCCCAAUGAUAUGUAAUAUUUUCGUAGGAUUUUGUACUACUUUAACUCUAGGUAGAUGUAGUGUAAAGGAAAUAAUAGUUAUAUGUACAAAGAAGUUAAUAGUUUGGCUUUUAAAGUGUGUGACUAGAAUGGAUUAUAAAAUAGCUGUUUAAAUGACUACACGUAUAUGGAAAUCUUUUUGUGUAUGAUAGAGAUAAAUUGGUAAUAUAAUUAUUGAGAAAGGUUAUAGGAGGAAGCAAUAAGGUUAUAAAUGACAUUCAAAAUGGAUAACGUGAUUAAGUUGAUGAUUGUAAUUUAAGCAUGAAGGGGAUUACUCAGUGAUGCCAUGACACUAUGAGAUAAUAAUUGGACACAAAUAUAGCCCAAUGAAGUUAAAUUAUGGAAUAUGAGGAAUAUGAAAUUUUGAUUUAGUAAGGAUUGCGAGAAUAAAGUGAGGAGGAAGCUGGGCUAUUUUCGUAGUUAAUUAUUCCGAUAGUCAAUAAAAUUAUUGGAGUACAAGACAAGGAAAAUAAUUAGAUAGGGAUGACAAUAAAUUUGAGGAAAGUUGUAGACAGUAAGCAACUUAUGUCUGAGGUGGUAUAUGUGUUAUGAAUUUAUUAUACCGUAUGGAAAGGAUGUUUUGAGGUAGGAUUCUAUGAAUGUUGAUGAAAGUCAAAAGAUGACAUGAGUUGAAAGUAUAAACUUGGCUUAUUGCGUAUGGCAAGCAAAGAGAAGGUACCUAUACUUAUGGAACUCAUGAUAUAUGCCUAGAAGGGAAACCCAAUGGUUGAGGAUGAUGGAUGUAGUGACUUUGAAUGCAGACAAAUAGCUUUGAUGAGGAAAUUUCUAGUAGUUACAGCGCCGCAGCACUGAUUGUCCAGCGUUGUAAUGCUCGAAUACCUCACGCCUAUGAUGCAUGAGUAAGAUGGGAGUGACACGAUAAUGAGCUUACAAAUUGAAUUUUGGUUAUUGGUUAUUGAGCUUUGUUAAUUAAGAGUUUUAAAUAUUCUAGAGAAUGUCUACUUGAAUAGAUUGAAAAGCUUCUUUAUCGCCUUGUGUAUGAGCAUAUAAUUAAAAGAAAAAUUGAAAGAUUCUUGAGAUGGCUAUAUUGAGAUAAGAUACCAAGUGAUGAAAGUGUGAAUGAAGGAUUAUAAGGGUGGUAUAAAAAACAAGUUUAUAUAGAAUAUCAUUAUGAGAAUUUACAAUUAUUGUCUUGACUCAGUUAAAUGACAAGGGUUAGUAACAACACGAGGCCAAUUGUGUAGCACCCUAAAAACCUAUGAAGACAAGUUGGGGAUUGAAUGGAUGAAUAUGUAUUUAUAUACCUUUAAGAUUAAGUGUUUUAGGAAUGCACAAACAUCCUUGAGAAGAAAUUUCUAAUCAUACACGACAAAUAUAAAAUGUGAGAUUUUUAAAAUUUACUGAGGAGCCUAACGGCUAAGUCACAAGCUAAGUAAUCACGUGCUGCGAGACAUAAGUCCAAGUUUUUAAGUGACAUUUAGUAAGUGAGAUGUGAUAAAUGACAUUGUGAUAUGUGGAUAUAACAUGAUGAAACUCAAGCAUAUGAUUGGAAAUGAUACAAAUGAUAUGAAGUUAUACGCAAGCAUAAUAAGAAGGUUGACAUGCACUAUAAGGAUUAUUAUAUUGAAUCUAGGAUUGGGAUGUGGAUGAAUAAAGGGAAAUGUAGUCCAAGGCAUGUGAACACAUGGAUCCCUAUACAUAACGAGAGAUGUUGACAUUUGAAAAUGUAUGUAUAUAUGUAUAUAUGAAAUUGAUAAUUUGACUAACUAAGGUGAAGAAUUGUUCUCAGUAAUUGGGAGAUUUUGAAAUAAUAUCCAGAGGGGUCAGUGAGCUAAAGUGUUAUCGGGCAUGCAAUGAACGAUUAAAGUUAUAAGUGAGUUUCAAGGUAAGCCUUGGAUUGUUUAAGUUCUCAAUGGAACUUUAUUAAAGGAAGCGUAUGGAAAAGCAUAAGAAAAUAUAUUAGUUUGACUUACUAUAAGAGGUCAAAAGUUGGAUGGUCAUGAGUGGCUUGUAAGUAACCCAAGAAUGUAUAGGUAAGUGUGCAAGGGAGCUAUGAUCGAUAGAUAAGGGUAGAACUUUAUUGAUGAGAUAGUGUUCGCUGCGUUAUACCUUGAACUAUAAAAUAUGGAUAUGUAUCCACAUUAUGAAACUCUAAUGUGAUAAAUUCGAAAGACUUUUUGCAAUGAGAAAACAUUAAAGCUUAAGGAGCAAAUGGCUAUAUAGUCAAGUUAGACUCAAGACUGACAUGUCACAUAAGUAUGAGGAUGGGAUACAAGCAUAAGUAUACUUGGAAAUACUGGUUUGAGGUAAUGAUUAUCCUACUAUUUUAUGGACCCGAUGAGGUUCUGAUCUCGACAUAAUUGUAGACGCAAAACAUAAAUUGUGAAAUGUACUUCCCCACAAGUUUCAAUUUAUUUUUAAGUAAUUAUCAAGGCAAAGUACUUGAUAAUGGUAGGCAAAGGUUGAAUUGUGUUCCAAAUGUUUAGAAAAUGAGGGUGAUACGGUUUGAUUAAAUGACACUAUUAUGCAUAAGGGAAUAGAAAUACGCUAUGAGGACUAUAAAGAUCUACUUAGAAAAGAAAUGAUGAUUCGAAAAUUCAAGUACUCAUGUACAAGUAAGGGUUUGGUGAUGAGAUAUGACAUAGGGUUGAAUUACUCCAAUAUGAACUUUGACUAUAAAAAUUUGAUUUAUAUAAUACAUGUUGUUUGGGGAUGAUGCCAACUAGUGGUUAACUCUCAUAUGAGAAUGGAAUAUGUGCAAUCGAAUUCGUGUAAUCAAAAGUGUGAAAAUUUGCCUUGAUUGGCAUAAGCCCAUGACUCAAAAUGGAUGAUUAUGGAUUUAAUCUUCUAAGGUAAAAAAGGCUGAAGGAAGUUGAUACCAGAAAUAUUUUGAUAAAUGAUACUUUGAUUUUAAAGUGUACUUGAGGUGAGAUAUAUGUUUAUUUUCAUUUUCAGAUUGAUGAACAAAUAAGGCCAUGAGAUCUAGUGUUCGGAGUAAAAAUUUGAGGAAUCACCAGUUAGAUAUGUUUGUAUGUGAUGUAUAACUAACAAGUUGGUUAAGACCUAGGAAUUAUAAGGAUUGAUUAAGUCCAUAAGGAUACAUCCAAAAGUAGGUUUGUUUAUUUAAAUAUAUCGUGGUAAUAGACGAGAUCUACUUAAUAAGUACUCGAUCAUGAAAGUACUAGAGUUUUCUUUUUAAGAAUAUGGUUACUAAUGGUUAUCAAAUUUGAAUUAUCUGUGAUGUUAAAUAUAUAUAUGGAUAAAUAAAGAGUGUUUGAUCCUUAUGUAUUAUGAAAUGCUUGAAUAGGAAUUGUAGUGCACACCCCUUUAGGAGAAAAAUUGAUUUGGAAGUAGUUGUAAUAUGGAAAGAGUAUUCUGAAGUGGGAAUUAUUGAUUAUUGACAAGUGAUAAAGGUAGCGUAACGAUAGCAAAUCCCAUUAGAGGCUGAGUUGCGUGGACACAAGAGACUUUAGGAGAUAGUAAAGGAAAUGGUAUCAAGGAAAUGUAAUCUAUAGUACGGUUAAGGCAUACGCGAUGGACUAAUAUGAUUAAGAAGAUUGAAGCUACAUAAAUGUGAGGUAAACAUAAAUAUGAGGAUACCUAUAGGAAUGAAUAAGAUCAUCCCAAUGGUUAAAGUAUUGUGGAUGAAUGCUCGAAUGGAAGAGAUAACAUGGGAAGUUGAACAUCAUAUGAGAAGACAAUACCCCACAUUUUCUCUGAGUUCAGUAAAUGAAAUUUUGAGGUCAAAAUUUUAUUUUAAGGGGGGUAGUGCUGUCAAGCCCAACCUUAUAAAGUACUUGCCAUGUCCUUUAUGUGAUUCACAAUAUGCUUGCAUACUUGGAAAGCCCCGAAAAAUCAUCAAAAGUCGAUAUUAUACCAAAUGGUACUAUUAAGUUGAAUUAAGCCUCGAACUAGUCUAAAUAGAGAUCUUAAGAUGAAAUUGAGAAUUUUAAAACCCCAAAAUGACUUAAAAUGAUGAUUUGGAGUUCAAGGGCUAAAUUGGAGUCAAUUUGGAAUUUUCAUGUUCUAGAGGUAAAAUGGUAAUUUUGUAACCUGAAGACAAAAUGGGAAUUUUUAGAAAAUAUUUCAAUCACAUUUGACUCAUUGGAGUAUGAUUUGAGUUUGAGAGGUGAAAAAUUUAAAUUCUGACAUUUUUUGAGUCCUAAGGGCAAAACGAUAAUUUUACUAGUUUACGAGGGUAAAGUUGGAAUUUUGGAAUUUUACACCACCUAACACUUGUCAUGCCCAUGGAUUUCAGCCUUUAACAUUUUACAUUGUGGAUAAUUGAAACAUUUUAUGGGGGUGGAGAGAGAUUGCUUGAUGGAUAAGUAUUACACAUGGACCAAUGGAAACAUGCCAUGUGUCAAGCUUGGAUUAUUCUAGAAUUUCCUUGUAAAAUCUAUUUAAAACUCACUUAGUCUCACCCAUAUGGCCGGCCAAAGCAUGAAGUGAAGAGGAAAGGAAAGAACACAAACCCUAGGUGGGAAAAUUGAAGAAAAAGUGUGGGAUUUAAAGGGAUUAAGCUAAUAAAGGUAAAAUUUUGUGAUUUUAUCUUGUGAUUUACACUACCCAUGCUUUCUUUUUCAUUUUCCAUGCUUAGAACUCAAGUUUGCAUGAUGAACCCAUGCUGGCCGAAUUUGAGAGGAGAGAUUUUGAGCAUUGAUUUUGCUAGAUUUCAAGCUAAUUAAGUGUUUUUGGUUGUUUGGUAAUGGAAAGUACGAAAAUCUAGCAAGGAAUCACUUUGUUCUUCACAAACCCACAAGAGGCUGAAUUUUCUAGGGAGGAUAUUGAGGCUAAAAUUGAUGAUAUUUCAUGAGAUUCUAGUGGUAUUUAAUGAUUGGUGAGGCUAGAAAUUUAAUACAAAUUUUGGCAUGAAAAUCUGAAUUUUUACCUAAUGUACAAACAUGUGCAAUUUAUGGUUCGGACUGAUUAAUUGAAUCAUAUUCACAGUCAUUGAGGUAUUUAAAGUAUAAUUGAAGUGUAGAAAGUGAAAGAAAUUGAUUUGCAGUUAAAUUGGAGGUUUUAGCCAAUUACACCGAGAAUAACGCGAAUUAGGUCAAAUAUCGUAUUUAAACGGCUAUUCGAACAUUUUGCAUCACAUUUUGUGCAUUCAUAUAGAUUUAUAAAGCCUGAAAUAGUUUAUGAUAAGUUGACACAAUUUAUUGAAAUUUGUGUCACGUAUGAUGUAUAGGUGGUGAGCCCUCUAACAAAGGUAAAGAGAUUGUGCCCAAAGAUCGGGAAUAGGAGUAUAUCGAACUCCUAGUACUAUGAGUAACCUUACUAUCGUCUUAAUUAUCUAAAGUGAUUUUUAUUCGAUUUUGUGAAUUUCAUGGAAAAUGAAUUAAAUGAUUAAUUUUUUCGAUUUUAUAAACCAAAUGUGAUUUAAUGAAAUGAUUUCAUAAAAUUGUUUUAAAAUUGAAUAAUGGCUUUGAAAAUAGAGUAAUUGGAGACCAUUUGAUGUAUUAUGAAUUUAUGGUUCUAAUUGAUUAGCUUAUGACAAUAUUGGCAUGAAUGGCUAAAUUGGUGUUUGUGUUGAAAUGUAUAAACUGUUGUUUGCCUUGAUAGGCUGGAUAAUGGUAAAAUUGCCAUGUUAUGCUGUUGAAUUUUUAUUGUUUGGUGGGUUUAGCUUGUUGCAGUGGGCUGGUUCUGUGGACUAGCCUAUUAGAGGGGCACGAAACCUGGUCAUAUUCUUACCUCGGUUGGAAAGACGAGUAGGGUAACUCCUGAGGUAUAACUUUAAGGUUCACUUCACCUUAAACCACCUCGUGAUGAUGAACUCCGCUAACGCCAAGGAACGGCUAUGUUUUUAAAAUAAAAACAUGAUUUAUGCGUACAUAACUUUUUAACAGCCUUGGCGGUCUCGAUUGGGAUAGCCCUCGAUCAAGGCAUCCCUGAUAACUGAGUAUAAAAAUGAUUUUGGCAAUAGCCAAAGCUUUUAAGAAAUUCAUAAGCCAUGUUAAUUACUUGAUUUAUAUGAAUUAAUUUUAUUUGGUUGAAACAAGUUGAAAGGUGAUGAAUUUCAGUAUGUUAAACUGUUUUAUCUGUCUCCAUUUACUCGACUUUAGAUAGUUUAGAUGGUAUCUGUUUACUCAUUGGGAUUUUAUAAUCUCACCACCCUCCUUUUCAACUAUUUCAGGCCUGAGGUAGCCUGUGGAUAGCAGAUAUCGUCAAGGAUUAUAGUUAGCUUUACUACUCCAAAAACUGUAGGUUUACUACCUUUGUGCACUUUUGUUCCUUGUGGGCCCACGAGUCACUGUAAAGUAAAUUUCAUAUCCCGGUUAUCUGUAUUAUAGUACGUAUGAAUUUAUUUAGCUUUUACAUUACAAAAAUUAUUUACCGAUGACUCUCUAAAUAUUGUUUUACAAGAAAUUAGAAUAUUUUAUU